Molecule: ribosomal RNA, 499 nt
Filed under: uncultured bacterium
Lineage: Bacteria
Description: partial 16S ribosomal RNA
Rfam family: Bacterial small subunit ribosomal RNA
Source: RNAcentral
AUUGAACGCUGGCGGCAUGCUUUACACAUGCAAGUCGAACGAUAACAGGGUGCUUGCACCGCUGACGAGUGGCGAACGGGUGAGUAAUGCGUCGGAACGUGCCGAGUAGUGGGGGAUAACGCAGCGAAAGUUGUGCUAAUACCGCAUACGUACUGAGGUAGAAAGUGGGGGACCUUCGGGCCUCACGCUAUUCGAGCGGCCGACGUCUGAUUAGCUAGUAGGUGAGGUAAAGGCUCACCUAGGCGACGAUCAGUAGCGGGUCUGAGAGGAUGAUCCGCCACACUGGGACUGAGACACGGCCCAGACUCCUACGGGAGGCAGCAGUGGGGAGUUUUGGACAAUGGGCGAAAGCCUGAUCAGCCAUGCCGCGUGUCUGAAGAAGGCCUUCGGGUUGUAAAGGACUUUUGUCAGGGAGGAAAUCCCUAGUGCUAAUAACACUGGGGGAUGACAGUACCUGAAGAAUAAGCACCGGCUAACUACGUGCCAGCCGCCGCCGUAA